CCGCGGCGGCGGGCCUGGUCGUGCGGGCGGUGCUGGUGGCGCUGCUCGGGCUCGUGCUCGUGGAGCUCCGGCCACCGGUCGCGGUC
Molecule: transfer RNA, 86 nt
Filed under: Pseudonocardia halophobica
Lineage: Bacteria; Bacillati; Actinomycetota; Actinomycetes; Pseudonocardiales; Pseudonocardiaceae
Description: tRNA-Thr
Source: RNAcentral